RNAcentral lists this ribosomal RNA (253 nucleotides) under uncultured bacterium. RNAcentral describes it as "partial 16S ribosomal RNA". It matches the Rfam family "Bacterial small subunit ribosomal RNA", at positions 524 to 776 of the family's 1533-position model. The record is from RNAcentral.
GACAGAGGUGCCGAGCGUUAGGCGGAAUCGCUGGGCUUAAAGCGUGUGUAGGCGGAUCGUUAAGUGCCUUGUGAAAUCCCACGGCUCAACCGUGGAACUGCUUGGCAUACUGGCGAUCUUGAGCCACCUAGGGGCAACUGGAACAAGCGGUGGAGCGGUGAAAUGCGUAGAUAUCGCUUGGAACGCCAAUGGUGAAAACAGGUUGCUGGGGGUGUGCUGACGCUGAGACACGAAAGCCAGGGGAGCGAACGGG